This 1360-nucleotide long non-coding RNA is filed under the name Elaeis guineensis (African oil palm). RNAcentral's name for it is "long non-coding RNA (EGUI_LNC072662)". The record is from RNAcentral. Lineage: Eukaryota; Viridiplantae; Streptophyta; Magnoliopsida; Arecales; Arecaceae.
UUCUUGGUAAUUUAGCAUUGUGAUGAAACUAAUUGUUGUUAGCUUUCUAUGGUAUUGAUUUGGACCAUAAUGCUAUCUCACUGUAUCUUUACAGCCAGGUUUUCAUCUCAGUUAGAUAUUGGUUUGUAUUAGAUAUCAGGGACCCAUGGAUAUGGUUUAUGUAAAAUCUUAGCUCUUACUAUAUUGGAUGAAAUAAAAUAAUAUAUUCAAAUAUACCAGCUGAUGCAAUAUUAACAGUUUGUCUGAGAUUUUUGUGUCUUCCUUUUACUAUCUGAACUAAAUAAAUAUCAGAUUCAAAGUCGAGAAACAAUUGUUAACCUCAGUAUUGUGAAUUGAUGAUAUUGUCUGAGAUAUUGAUAGCUCAGUUUUUAUACAUGGGUUGAGGUUUCCAAUGUGUCAAAUAUUUUCCAUAAUCUGCCCACCUUCCAUCUUAGCCAAGAUAUUGAUAACUCAGUUGUUAUAAGUUGGUUGAGAUUUCCAAUAUAUCAAGAUAAAUCAAGAUCUUGGUUCAUAUAAUAUUGAUUUCUCACCAUGAUGGCCAGCAUCUCAUGGAUUUGAAAAACCUUGCUUUCAUCACCAUGCCAAAAAAGAGGAGUUGCUUUUCACCAAAUUUGUAUUGUAUGCAAGUUGACUUUUCCAUAUGCUUAUCCAAGACUAUGCACUUCAACACUCGUCCUAGAUUUUUGGCGAUAGUUGGGAGACAAGUGAAUCAUAUUGGCCCAAUAUAUAACUGGUUCAUCAUCAACAUUCCACUGGCUUGCCACUAUGAUUUCAUGAACUACCUGUCCAGGUUAGCACAGUUGGUAUUUAGGUCUCAAACUUCUCAUCUAGUUGGAGCAAGCAGCCAUGGCCAAUAAAAAGGCUAUUUGACUUGUUUCUGUGGUCAGAUUGAGUUCAAAUGUUGAGAUUAGGUAGAUAAUCAUCAUAGGAGGCUCAUAUUGUGAAAUUAUUCCCUAGCCAAUCCAAAUAUAACAUAUUAAUAGUUGUACGAAGUUGUUAAUAGGGUUAUUAGGUCCUUUCUGUGAAAAGUAGUAAUAUGCUUUUGUUAAGCACACUUUUGAUAGCUGAUGUUAGUGUAGUGGAGAUACGCAUAACAACCAAAUACAUGAGCUCUCGGCUUCCAUUUAAUGUGCCUAAGUGACAUUGUUUAUUGCACAAUAUAUUUGUUAAUCAUUCAAGGGAUUGAUAAGCCCAUGGAAUACGGAUAUUUCACUGGAUUACCCAUGUUUGUAUCCAAUACAUAUCUGAUUUACGCUUGAAAUGUCAUGAUCUACAAAGCAUGGAGACAGAUACGGCAUAUGGAUAUGACAGGAUAUAGAUAUGCUGACACAUCAAAACCUUAAAAAAGUAGGAAACCAUA